AUGGGAACCGCACGGCCGCAAAUCUGACUCGCCGCCGUUUCUGGCGGCUUGGGAUUGCGGAAGUGC
RNAcentral lists this non-coding RNA (66 nucleotides) under unclassified sequences. Its description in RNAcentral is "S15-Halobacteria ribosomal protein leader". It matches the Rfam family "S15-Halobacteria ribosomal protein leader". The record is from RNAcentral.